This 404-nucleotide ribosomal RNA is filed under the name Archilochus colubris. RNAcentral describes it as "partial 12S ribosomal RNA". Lineage: Eukaryota; Metazoa; Chordata; Aves; Apodiformes; Trochilidae. The record is from RNAcentral.
AAAGACUCAGUCCUAACCUUACCGUUGAUUAUUACCAAACAUAUACAUGCAAGUAUCCGCGCCCCAGUGUAAAUGCCCUCAGACACCUUACCAAGACAAAAGGAGCAGGUAUCAGGCACACCACGACUGUAGCCCAAAACACCUUGCUCAGCCACACCCCCACGGGUACUCAGCAGUAAUUAACAUUAAGCAAUAAGUGUAAACUUGACUUAGUUAUGGUAAACCUAAGGGCUGGUUAAUCUUGUGCCAGCCACCGCGGUCAUACAAGAAACCCAAACCAACGGCAGCACGGCGUAAAGAGUGACAUGACAAUAUCCUCCAAGCUAAGAUCGAAACACAACUGAGCUGUCUAUAAGCACAAGAUGUGCAGAAGAACCCCCAAAAGAAGGUCCUAGUUAGCACGA